ACUCCUACGGGAGGCAGCAGUGGGAAUCUUGGACAAUGGGCGCAAGCCUGAUCCAGCCAUGCCGCGUGAGUGAUGAAGGCCCUAGGGUCGUAAAGCUCUUUCGCCUGUGAAGAUAAUGACGGUAGCAGGUAAAGAAACCCGCGUACAUCCGUGCCAGCAGCCGCGGUAAUACGGAGGGGGUUAGCGUUGUUCGGAAUUACUGGGCGUAAAGCGCACGUAGGCGGAUUAGCAAGUUGGGGGUGAAAUCCC
RNAcentral lists this ribosomal RNA (249 nucleotides) under uncultured bacterium. RNAcentral describes it as "partial 16S ribosomal RNA". It matches the Rfam family "Bacterial small subunit ribosomal RNA", at positions 335 to 603 of the family's 1533-position model. The record is from RNAcentral.